UACGGAGGGCGCAAGCGUUGUUCGGAAUUACUGGGCGUAAAGCGCGUGUAGGCGGUUCAGCAAGUCGGUUGUGAAAGCCCCGGGCUCAACUCGGGAAUUGCGUCCGAAACUGCUGAACUGGAGUCCCGGAGAGGAAGGCAGAAUUCCCAAUGUAGGGGUGAAAUCCGUAGAUAUUGGGAGGAAUAACGGUGGCGAAGGCGGCCUUCUGGACGGUGACUGACGCUGAGACGCGAAAUCGUGGGGAGCAAACAGG
RNAcentral lists this ribosomal RNA (253 nucleotides) under uncultured bacterium. Its description in RNAcentral is "partial 16S ribosomal RNA". It matches the Rfam family "Bacterial small subunit ribosomal RNA", at positions 524 to 776 of the family's 1533-position model. The record is from RNAcentral.